RNAcentral lists this ribosomal RNA (468 nucleotides) under uncultured bacterium. RNAcentral's name for it is "partial 16S ribosomal RNA". It matches the Rfam family "Bacterial small subunit ribosomal RNA", at positions 28 to 507 of the family's 1533-position model. The record is from RNAcentral.
GAUGAACGCUGGCGGCGUGCUUAACACAUGCAAGUCGAACGGAAAGGCCAGUGCUUGCACUGGUACUCGAGUGGCGAACGGGUGAGUAACAAGUGGGUGAUCUGCCCUGCACUUCGGGAUAAGCCUGGGAAACUGGGUCUAAUACCGGAUAGGACAAUGGUUUGGAUGCCGUUGUGGAAAGUUUUUUCGGUGUGGGAUGAGCUCGCGGCCUAUCAGCUUGUUGGUGGGGUAAUGGCCUACCAAGGCGUCGACGGGUAGCCGGCCUGAGAGGGUGUACGGCCACAUUGGGACUGAGAUACGGCCCAGACUCCUACGGGAGGCAGAAGUGGGGAAUAUUGCACAAUGGGCGCAAGCCUGAUGCAGCGACGCCGCGUGGGGGAUGACGGCCUUCGGGUUGUAAACUCCUUUCGCUAGGGACGAAGCGUAUUUGUGACGGUACCUGGAGAAGAAGCACCGGCUAACUACGUG